GGAAGUAAAAGUCGUAAUAAGGUUUCUGUAGGUGAACCUGCGGAGGGAUCAUUACAGAGUUCUCGCCCUCGCGGGUAGAUCUCCCACCCACUGUUAUCGUUACUGUGUUGCUUUGGCGGGCCGCCGGGCCCCGCUCGGCCGCCGGCUCCGGCUGGCGCGCGCCCGCCAGAGGCCCAGCAAACUCUGAAUGUUAGUGUCGUCUGAGUACUAUAUAAUAGUUAAAACUUUCAACAACGGAUCUCUUGGUUCUG
This 251-nucleotide unclassified non-coding RNA is filed under the name plant metagenome. Its description in RNAcentral is "partial contains small subunit ribosomal RNA, internal transcribed spacer 1, and 5.8S ribosomal RNA". The stretch from base 1 to 54 matches the Rfam family "Eukaryotic small subunit ribosomal RNA", at positions 1778 to 1831 of the family's 1831-position model. The record is from RNAcentral.